RNAcentral lists this ribosomal RNA (485 nucleotides) under uncultured bacterium. Its description in RNAcentral is "bacterial SSU rRNA". It matches the Rfam family "Bacterial small subunit ribosomal RNA", at positions 17 to 518 of the family's 1533-position model. The record is from RNAcentral.
UUCUGGCUCAGGAUGAACGCUGGCGGCAUGCCUAAUACAUGCAAGUCGAACGGGAGUGCUUGCACUCCAGUGGCGAACGGGUGAGUAAUACAUAGGUAACCUGUCCUUAAGACGAGGAUAGCUUCUAGAAAUGGAAGAUAAAACUGGAUAGGACAUCACAAAUCACAUGAUUAGAUGUUUAAAAGAGCAAUCUACUUAAGGAGGGGCCUGUGGCGCAUUAGCCAGAUGGCGGGGUAAUGGCCCACCAUAGCGAUGAUGCGUAGCCGGUCUGAGAGGACGAACGGCCACAUUGGGACUGAGACACGGCCCAGACUCCUACGGGAGGCAGCAGUAGGGAGUUUUCGGCAAUGGGCGGAAGCCCUGACCGAGCAAUGCCGCGUGAAUGAAGAAGUAUUUCGGUAUGUAAAGUUCUUUUAUUUGGGACGAAAAAACAAAUUGACGGUACCAAAUGAAUAAGCCCCGGCUAACUAUGUGCCAGCCGCGGC